CGCACAAAUGGCCCAGCGUCGUCCAGGUCGAGCUGGGGUAGGCCGUCAUUGUAAAUAAGAAUUUGUUCUUAACUGACUUGCCUAGUUAAAUAAAGGUUACAUUUAAAAAUGUGAAAUGUAACAUGAGACAGGAGAGGCCUGUAGGAUGAAGGUUGGUAUUUAACACAGCCCUUUUUCUUCCUUUCUUCUCUUCUCUUUUAUCCUCCUCCACCUCCUUUCUUUAUCCCUUUCCUAUUUGUCUUCCUUCAUCGCUUACUCUCGUUUCACACAUUUUCUCUAUCCCUCCAUAUCUUCCCUUCAUCCCUCUAUCUCAUCCCUCUAUCUCAUUCCUCUAUCCCGCCACCCCAUCCCUCUCUCAUUCCUCCUUCCCUCCAUUCCAUCUCAUCAAUGAUCUUGUAAGUCUUCUACAUUUGUCUCUCUUCCUCAAGGCAACACCGACUUCCAUCCUUUCUACCCUCAAUCUACCUAUCCACACCUUCACCUCUCCAUCCAUCCAUUCUCCCUCCAUCCUCUUCUCUCCUGCUCUCAUUUUCUCCAAUCCUUCUCUCAUCUUGUCUUCCCUGGCCUAACACUAAUGAGUGUGCCAGGGAGGGGUCGAUACAGGAUGGAGUGAUUGUUCUGAGCAAAGAGUGGAAAAUGAAUGUGUCUGCCAUGCAUCAUCCGUGUGUGUGUACAUUACUGGCCCUGGCCUUCUUGCUGUAGCUUUUCUCUGAGGCACCGGAUAAUCCAGACCUGUUUUACUGGGCUCUUGGGUUGGGAGGGAAACUAAGUUGGUGAGAAUAAACCAUGAUUCAUGGUGAUGAAAAUGUCCUGAAUUGAAAAAUGAUUAUGGAAAUGUGUUUAUCUGUGUUCUGUCUCCCGGUUCCUGGAAGGGGUUACCAUCGAGGUGGACCAGAUCCAUACCCAUCUGUUGAUGAUGCUGGAGGACUACAUGGUCAACCGCCUCACCUCUGUCACACGCCUCUUCUCCAACUCCUUCAAUGACAAGUUCUGUGACCAGAUGAUGGCAAUGAAGAAAGAUAGGAAAUAUAGGAAAAAGGAAGGAAGCCUGCUGAGUUUGGGCUCACAUGUUUUGAAGUCGCUAUUAAGGCUUCAUGCAACACCUGUGGUGGUGGUGAUAAACCACAAGGGAGGCCAGCGCAGCUAUGACUGUGUGACUAUGAACACACAGGAAGAGUCCUUGACACAUACACCCUGACACCACCUCAGUGUGGCCUGCUCUACAUGAGAAGUGAGUGGCCAUAUUACAAUUAAUGAUUAAUUAGGCGCCAGCUAGAGAGCAGAGCCAGUAGCAAAGCCACCGUCUCGCCUCUCGUUAUCUCUCUGACAGAUAACCUUGUAAAGGGACAGAAAAGGUGACGGGGUGCCUGCCCACCUCUGCACAAACAGCAUCCAUCCUUAAACCUAGUGGUAAUAAUGUGUAAAUUGGCCCUCUGUUCGACUGCCUCUCCUCUUCUCUUUGAGGGGGCUGACAUCAAGGCCACCGUGGCCACCAGAUCAAACACACAGGAAAACAGUUAGAAAGGGCAAGAGGAUGAGGUGGUGGAGUGUGUAGGGAGG
This 1560-nucleotide long non-coding RNA is filed under the name Oncorhynchus mykiss (rainbow trout). RNAcentral's name for it is "lncRNA (ENSOMYG00000052877.1)". Lineage: Eukaryota; Metazoa; Chordata; Actinopteri; Salmoniformes; Salmonidae. The record is from RNAcentral.